UUAAGCGACUAAGCGUACACGGUGGAUGCCUAGGCAGUCAGAGGCGAUGAAGGGCGUGCUAAUCUGCGAAAAGCGUCGGUAAGCUGAUAUGAAGCGUUAUAACCGACGAUACCCGAAUGGGGAAACCCAGUGCAAUACGUUGCACUAUCGUUAGAUGAAUACAUAGUCUAACGAGGCGAACCGGGGGAACUGAAACAUCUAAGUACCCCGAGGAAAAGAAAUCAACCGAGAUUCCCCCAGUAGCGGCGAGCGAACGGGGAGGAGCCCAGAGUCUGAAUCAGUUUUGUGUGUUAGUGGAAGCGUCUGGAAAGUCGCACGGUACAGGGUGAUAGUCCCGUACACCAAAAUGCACAGGCUGUGAACUCGAUGAGUAGGGCGGGACACGUGACAUCCUGUCUGAAUAUGGGGGGACCAUCCUCCAAGGCUAAAUACUCCUGACUGACCGAUAGUGAACCAGUACCGUGAGGGAAAGGCGAAAGAACCCCGGCGAGGGGAGUGAAAUAGAACCUGAAACCGUGUACGUACAAGCAGUGGGAGCACCUUCGUGGGUGUGACUGCGUACCUUUUGUAUAAUGGGUCAGCGACUUAUAUUUUGUAGCAAGGUUAAACCGAAUAGGGGAGCCGUAGGGAAACCGAGUCUUAACUGGGCGUCUAGUUGCAAGGUAUAGACCCGAAACCCGGUGAUCUAGCCAUGGGCAGGUUGAAGGUUGGGUAACACUAACUGGAGGACCGAACCGACUAAUGUUGAAAAAUUAGCGGAUGACUUGUGGCUGGGGGUGAAAGGCCAAUCAAACCGGGAGAUAGCUGGUUCUCCCCGAAAGCUAUUUAGGUAGCGCCUCGUGAACUCAUCUUCGGGGUAGAGCACUGUUUCGGCUAGGGGGCCAUCCCGGCUUACCAAACCGAUGCAAACUCCGAAUACCGAAGAAUGUUAUCACGGGAGACACACGGCGGGUGCUAACGUCCGUCGUGAAGAGGGAAACAACCCAGACCGCCAGCUAAGGUCCCAAAGUCAUGGUUAAGUGGGAAACGAUGUGGGAAGGCACAGACAGCCAGGAUGUUGGCUUAGAAGCAGCCAUCAUUUAAAGAAAGCGUAAUAGCUCACUGGUCGAGUCGGCCUGCGCGGAAGAUGUAACGGGGCUAAACCAUGCACCGAAGCUGCGGCAGCGACACUUAGGUGUUGUUGGGUAGGGGAGCGUUCUGUAAGCCGUUGAAGGUGACCUGUGAGGGUUGCUGGAGGUAUCAGAAGUGCGAAUGCUGACAUAAGUAACGAUAAUGCGGGUGAAAAACCCGCACGCCGGAAGACCAAGGGUUCCUGUCCAACGUUAAUCGGGGCAGGGUGAGUCGACCCCUAAGGCGAGGCUGAAAAGCGUAGUCGAUGGGAAACAGGUUAAUAUUCCUGUACUUGGUGUUACUGCGAAGGGGGGACGGAGAAGGCUAGGCUGGCCGGGCGACGGUUGUCCCGGUUUAAGCGUGUAGGGGGAGUGACCAGGUAAAUCCGGUUGCUUAUCAACCCUGAGGCGUGAUGACGAUGCACUACGGUGCAGAAGCAGUUGAUGCCAUGCUUCCAGGAAAAGCCUCUAAGCAUCAGGUAACAUUAAAUCGUACCCCAAACCGACACAGGUGGUCAGGUAGAGAAUACUCAGGCGCUUGAGAGAACUCGGGUGAAGGAACUAGGCAAAAUGGUGCCGUAACUUCGGGAGAAGGCACGCUGGCGUUAGGUGAAAGGACUAGCUCCUGGAGCUGAAGCCAGUCGCAGAUACCAGCUGGCUGCAACUGUUUAAUAAAAACACAGCACUGUGCAAACACGAAAGUGGACGUAUACGGUGUGACGCCUGCCCGGUGCUGGAAGGUUAAUUGAUGGGGUCAGCCGCAAGGCGAAGCUCUUGAUCGAAGCCCCAGUAAACGGCGGCCGUAACUAUAACGGUCCUAAGGUAGCGAAAUUCCUUGUCGGGUAAGUUCCGACCUGCACGAAUGGCGUAAUGAUGGCCAGGCUGUCUCCACCCGAGACUCAGUGAAAUUGAACUCGCUGUGAAGAUGCAGUGUACCCGCGGCAAGACGGAAAGACCCCGUGAACCUUUACUAUAGCUUGACACUGAACAUUGAGCCUUGAUGUGUAGGAUAGGUGGGAGGCCUUGAAGUGUGGACGCCAGUCUGCAUGGAGCCAACCUUGAAAUACCACCCUUUAAUGUUUGAUGUUCUAACUCGGCCCCAUAAUCUGGGGUGAGGACAGUGUCUGGUGGGUAGUUUGACUGGGGCGGUCUCCUCCCAAAGAGUAACGGAGGAGCACGAAGGUUAGCUAAUCACGGUCGGACAUCGUGAGGUUAGUGCAAAGGCAUAAGCUAGCUUGACUGCGAGAGUGACGGCUCGAGCAGGUACGAAAGUAGGUCUUAGUGAUCCGGUGGUUCUGAAUGGAAGGGCCAUCGCUCAACGGAUAAAAGGUACUCCGGGGAUAACAGGCUGAUACCGCCCAAGAGUUCAUAUCGACGGCGGUGUUUGGCACCUCGAUGUCGGCUCAUCACAUCCUGGGGCUGAAGUAGGUCCCAAGGGUAUGGCUGUUCGCCAUUUAAAGUGGUACGCGAGCUGGGUUUAGAACGUCGUGAGACAGUUCGGUCCCUAUCUGCCGUGGGCGUUGGAAGAUUGAGAGGGGCUGCUCCUAGUACGAGAGGACCGGAGUGGACGAAUCACUGGUGUUCGGGUUGUCAUGCCAAUGGCAUUGCCCGGUAGCUAAAUUCGGAAGAGAUAACCGCUGAAAGCAUCUAAGCGGGAAACUUGCCUCGAGAUGAGUCUUCCCUGGGGCUUAAAGCCCCCUGAAGGAACGUUAAAGACUAUGACGUUGAUAGGCUGGGUGUGUAAGUGCAGCGAUGUAUUGAGCUAACCAGUACUAAUGAUCCGUGAGGCUUAACCUU
This 2906-nucleotide ribosomal RNA is filed under the name Yersinia pseudotuberculosis. RNAcentral describes it as "bacterial LSU rRNA". It matches the Rfam family "Bacterial large subunit ribosomal RNA". Lineage: Bacteria; Pseudomonadati; Pseudomonadota; Gammaproteobacteria; Enterobacterales; Yersiniaceae. The record is from RNAcentral.